AGUGGGGUUAGGGUUUGACCUCGAAGCGGCCUUGGUAGGGCUAGGUGUAUGAGGAAUAGUGGUAAGAGGAAUGACAUGAAUUGGAAUGACGUCAGCAGAACUGGAGGAAGUCAUUGUUGACGAUUUGCAGAGAGGAGAAAUAAAUUUGAGAAAGAGAGAAAUCUAAGAGCUCGAAAGGGCGUCUGAAAUUUGAAUUAACAGGUAAAGUUGUCAAUUUGAG
RNAcentral lists this long non-coding RNA (220 nucleotides) under Panax ginseng (ginseng). Its description in RNAcentral is "long non-coding RNA (PGIN_LNC004737)". Lineage: Eukaryota; Viridiplantae; Streptophyta; Magnoliopsida; Apiales; Araliaceae. The record is from RNAcentral.